Molecule: ribosomal RNA, 253 nt
Filed under: uncultured bacterium
Lineage: Bacteria
Description: partial 16S ribosomal RNA
Rfam family: Bacterial small subunit ribosomal RNA
Source: RNAcentral
GACGGGGGGUCCUAGCGUUGUUCGGAAUCAUUGGGCGUAAAGAGGGCGUAGGUGGCCAUGUAAGUUGGGAGUGAAAUCCCUGGGCUCAACCCAGGAAGUGCUCUCAAUACUGCUUGGCUUGAAUGUGGAAGAGGAUAGUGGAAUUCCAGGUGUAGUGGUGAAAUACGUAGAUAUCUGGAGGAACACCGGUGGCGAAGGCGGCUAUCUGGUCCAACAUUGACACUGAGGCCCGAAAGCGUGGGGAUCAAACAGG